RNAcentral lists this ribosomal RNA (463 nucleotides) under uncultured bacterium. RNAcentral describes it as "partial 16S ribosomal RNA". It matches the Rfam family "Bacterial small subunit ribosomal RNA", at positions 28 to 507 of the family's 1533-position model. The record is from RNAcentral.
GAUGAACGCUGACAGAAUGCUUAACACAUGCAAGUCUUUGGCGAAGCUGUGCUUGCACAGCCUAGCCAAGGCGGACGGGUGAGUAACGCGUAAGGAACUUGCCCUGCAGUCAGGGAUAACAGACGGAAACGACUGAUAAGACCUGGUAAAGUCAGGCGGACUCAUGUCCAGCCUGAUGAAAAGAGAUGCUGCAGGAGAGCCUUGCGUCCUAUUAGCUUGUUGGUGGGGUAACGGCCCACCAAGGCGAUGAUAGGUAGCCGGCCUGAGAGGGUGGACGGCCACAAGGGGACUGAGAUACGGCCCUUACUCCUACGGGAGGCAGCAGUGGGGAAUAUUGGACAAUGGGGGCAACCCUGAUCCAGCAAUUCUGUGCGAACGAUGAAGGUUUUCGGAUUGUAAAGUGCUUUCAGCAGGGAAGAAAAAAAUGACGGUACCUGCAGAAGAAGCGACGGCUAAAUACGUG